AUUCGAACCUGCCGCAGGUUCGGGUCGAACGCAGUGAGACAACGGAGCCGCUUGCGGCGACGGCCCGAAGGGCGAGGCGAAGCCGAGUCAUCCUGCACGACCCACCA
Molecule: small RNA, 107 nt
Filed under: Klebsiella variicola
Lineage: Bacteria; Pseudomonadati; Pseudomonadota; Gammaproteobacteria; Enterobacterales; Enterobacteriaceae
Also listed under: 1 other name
Description: partial RtT sRNA
Rfam family: RtT RNA
About the family: This family represents a bacterial cis-regulatory element known as RtT RNA. The exact function of RtT is unknown although it is thought that it may be involved in changing the cellular response in relation to amino acid starvation.
Source: RNAcentral